GUCAAGUUAGUUUAACAAAAAUAUCAGCCUGUGGAUUUGAAGAUGAAGCCAUGCUUUGCUUGACC
This 65-nucleotide transfer RNA is filed under the name Babylonia zeylanica. RNAcentral's name for it is "tRNA-His". The record is from RNAcentral. Lineage: Eukaryota; Metazoa; Mollusca; Gastropoda; Neogastropoda; Buccinidae.